RNAcentral lists this ribosomal RNA (445 nucleotides) under uncultured bacterium. RNAcentral's name for it is "bacterial SSU rRNA". It matches the Rfam family "Bacterial small subunit ribosomal RNA", at positions 331 to 793 of the family's 1533-position model. The record is from RNAcentral.
CCAGACUCCUACGGGAGGCAGCAGUGGGGAAUAUUGCACAAUGGGGGAAACCCUGAUGCAGCGACGCCGCGUGAGUGAAGAAGUAUUUCGGUAUGUAAGGCUCUAUCAGCAGGGAAGAAAAUGACGGUACCUGACCAAGAAGCCCCGGCUAACUACGUGCCAGCAGCCGCGGUAAUACGUAGGGGGCAAGCGUUAUCCGGAUUUACUGGGUGUAAAGGGAGCGUAGACGGCUGAGCAAGUCAGAAGUGAAAGCCCGGGGCUCAACCCCGGGACUGCUUUUGAAACUGCGGAGCUGGAGUGCAGGAGAGGUAAGCGGAAUUCCUGGUGUAGCGGUGAAAUGCGUAGAUAUCAGGAGGAACACCAGUGGCGAAGGCGGCUUACUGGACUGUAACUGACGUUGGGGCUCGAAAGCGUGGGGAGCAAACAGGAUUAGAUACCCCCGUAG